This 533-nucleotide ribosomal RNA is filed under the name Escherichia coli. RNAcentral's name for it is "bacterial SSU rRNA". It matches the Rfam family "Bacterial small subunit ribosomal RNA", at positions 982 to 1515 of the family's 1533-position model. The record is from RNAcentral. Lineage: Bacteria; Pseudomonadati; Pseudomonadota; Gammaproteobacteria; Enterobacterales; Enterobacteriaceae. RNAcentral also lists the same sequence under 1 other name.
UGACAUCCACGGAAGUUUUCAGAGAUGAGAAUGUGCCUUCGGGAACCGUGAGACAGGUGCUGCAUGGCUGUCGUCAGCUCGUGUUGUGAAAUGUUGGGUUAAGUCCCGCAACGAGCGCAACCCUUAUCCUUUGUUGCCAGCGGUCCGGCCGGGAACUCAAAGGAGACUGCCAGUGAUAAACUGGAGGAAGGUGGGGAUGACGUCAAGUCAUCAUGGCCCUUACGACCAGGGCUACACACGUGCUACAAUGGCGCAUACAAAGAGAAGCGACCUCGCGAGAGCAAGCGGACCUCAUAAAGUGCGUCGUAGUCCGGAUUGGAGUCUGCAACUCGACUCCAUGAAGUCGGAAUCGCUAGUAAUCGUGGAUCAGAAUGCCACGGUGAAUACGUUCCCGGGCCUUGUACACACCGCCCGUCACACCAUGGGAGUGGGUUGCAAAAGAAGUAGGUAGCUUAACCUUCGGGAGGGCGCUUACCACUUUGUGAUUCAUGACUGGGGUGAAGUCGUAACAAGGUAACCGUAGGGGAACCUGC